RNAcentral lists this ribosomal RNA (312 nucleotides) under Triticum aestivum (bread wheat). Its description in RNAcentral is "partial small subunit ribosomal RNA". Lineage: Eukaryota; Viridiplantae; Streptophyta; Magnoliopsida; Poales; Poaceae. The record is from RNAcentral.
AUGGCUGGGCUCAGUUGGGAUAAAAUGCGUCUUCCAAAGUCUGAGGGUGCUAUGGGGUUCAGAGAUAUGUGCGCUUUUAAUCAAGCCUUGUUAGGUAAACAGGCUUGGCCAUUAAUUGAAUCUCCGGAUAGUUUGUGUGCUCGCCUCCUUCGGGCGAAAUAUUAUCCGAAUGGAAAUCUUCUGGACACGGUAUUUUCAGGUAAUUCUUCAGCUGUUUGGAAAGGUAUUGAAUAUGGCCUUCAACUAGUGAAAAAGGGUUUUAUUUGGAGAAUCGGUAACGGCUGUAUGGUGCGUACAUGGCGUGAUCCUUAG